AAAUUGAAGAGUUUGAUCAUGGCUCAGAUUGAACGCUGGCGGCAGGCCUAACACAUGCAAGUCGAACGGUAACAGGAAGCAGCUUGCUGCUUCGCUGACGAGUGGCGGACGGGUGAGUAAUGUCUGGGAAACUGCCUGAUGGAGGGGGAUAACUACUGGAAACGGUGGCUAAUACCGCAUAACGUCGCAAGACCAAAGAGGGGGACCUUCGGGCCUCUUGCCAUCAGAUGUGCCCAGAUGGGAUUAGCUUGUUGGUGAGGUAACGGCUCACCAAGGCGACGAUCCCUAGCUGGUCUGAGAGGAUGACCAGCCACACUGGAACUGAGACACGGUCCAGACUCCUACGGGAGGCAGCAGUGGGGAAUAUUGCACAAUGGGCGCAAGCCUGAUGCAGCCAUGCCGCGUGUAUGAAGAAGGCCUUCGGGUUGUAAAGUACUUUCAGCGGGGAGGAAGGUGUUGCGGUUAAUAACCGCAGCAAUUGACGUUACCCGCAGAAGAAGCACCGGCUAACUCCGUGCCAGCAGCCGCGGUAAUACGGAGGGUGCAAGCGUUAAUCGGAAUUACUGGGCGUAAAGCG
This 577-nucleotide ribosomal RNA is filed under the name Salmonella enterica subsp. enterica serovar Infantis. RNAcentral describes it as "bacterial SSU rRNA". It matches the Rfam family "Bacterial small subunit ribosomal RNA", at positions 1 to 567 of the family's 1533-position model. The record is from RNAcentral. RNAcentral also lists the same sequence under 1 other name. Lineage: Bacteria; Pseudomonadati; Pseudomonadota; Gammaproteobacteria; Enterobacterales; Enterobacteriaceae.